Molecule: non-coding RNA, 221 nt
Organism: Pelobates cultripes (western spadefoot toad)
Lineage: Eukaryota; Metazoa; Chordata; Amphibia; Anura; Pelobatidae
Source: the annotation of a GenBank genome assembly
GCAUUACUACAUCGUACUUGAGUCACCUUAAAAAUAUUAGUGUGUCGACCCACCCCCCCUUCUUUCAAAUAUGCAAUGGAACACGCCAAGGAUGUCCCCUGUCCCCAAUAAUAUUUGCCCUGUCGCUUGAAUCACUCCUACAAUCCCUGAGGUCCUCCAACACAACGAUAAAGGGAAUACAAAUCAGGAACAAAGAAUAUAAAACUGCAGCAUACGCUGAU